This 595-nucleotide long non-coding RNA is filed under the name Homo sapiens (human). Its description in RNAcentral is "HSALNT0134783". The record is from RNAcentral. Lineage: Eukaryota; Metazoa; Chordata; Mammalia; Primates; Hominidae.
UGUAACCAGUGGACUCCUUGUUCUCCCAGCACUGCCCUCACAGCCCAAAGAAUUUCUGAACAAAGAGAACAAGAUUCAAGUUUAAAACCAAGACCUCUGCUUCCAUUUCUGUGUUUUCCUUCCCUCCCAUAGCCCAGAGUGUGCCCCAGCAAACCAGCUGUCAGGAAAGCAUUUGAUGUCAGUCAUUUGCAUCUUAAUGCGAUGGAAAGGUACCUGUGAUGCUUGGAGUCAAGUACUGGGUUCCAUCUUGGGAAGCCAGAGCGUCGGAUCUUCGGUCACUCCUGGUGAGCACAAGCAAGUGAGAGCUCAGGCUCUGGUGCAGGUUAGUGAACCAGCAGAUCUUGUUAUGAGGAGCGGUUAAACUUUCACAAGCUCAGUUACAAUGUGAUGCUCAACAAAUUCAUUUUAAAGGGACCACUUGAUAGAAUUAGGGAAAAGAACCAUUGGCUCUACAGAUUGAUUUAGCAUAGAUCUUGUCCAAAGAAAGGAGAAGUCUUAAAGUUCAAUAUGAAUAAAAUUUAAAUGUGACUCAGAAGAAAGAGCAUUUUCUUGUAUGGAUUUGAGCUGUGUGAAACCAGCAGCAAUAAACGGGACU